GGCUGAGGCACAUUAAGCUUCACUGAGGGAGAAACAGUGCGUUUUAUCAAAGGGCUGGACAGCUACGCGCACAAGAUGUCACCUGCAGGGAUUGGUUUUUGCCCAGAUGUGCAGGGAAUAUGUAUAGAGGGAAAGAAAUGUCCGUGCGUGUGCAGGUUUUGGCAGGUGCGCAUGAAGCCUGGAAGGAUUUUCUUUGGAUCCACAAUCAAAAUGGAUUUCCAGGAGGGACCUUGUCUGAGCACAUGCCUCUUUCAUGUGCUGCAUAUGGCCCCAUCCCGCCAGGCAGGUACUCAAGAAAGCGAUCGGCACCUGCUUCAGCUCUGGCCAGAGCUCGUUGGCUCACGUGGUGGGUGGAAAACUGAAAGGAGGACAGAGAAGCAUCUUAGAGACUCGAGGAGGAGUUGAGUCUCUCACCACCUUCCUGCAGGUCUUCUGAAUACUUCUGAGCACAGGAACCUCUUCUCUCAACAGGCAAGUCAGUAGUUAUUGAGAUAAAACCACAACCCAGGCUCGAGCCAGGGUUAAUAUCAACCAUCCGCUGUCCACAGAGCACUGACUGUGGGCCAUGCAUUGUGCUAAGCACUCUCAUUUAAUCCUUACAACAAUCCCUAUGAGGUAGGUGCUACUACUACCCCAUUGUACAGAUGGGGACACUGAGGCCUAAAGUUCCACAGCUGGUAACUUGCAGAAUAGAAAUUCUUCCCCUGGGCCGUCUGACUCCAGCUAUAGCUAUUCAUGGCAGGAGAAAAAUAUGCUAAGUGUGUCUUAAGAAACCAUCAGUGGUGGUCACACAACCACUCCAAAUAUGAAGGAAAAAAUGAAACAGCAGUGGUAAUGGGAUAAUAAUAUUAUCCCAUUAUAUUGUGGGAUUAUGUUGUCUUGUUGUCUGGCAUAAGUUAAUUUCCAUAAUGGUUUUCUAUUUCAGUCAAAGCAGUCUUCUUUUUUUUUUUUCUCUUCUAGUGACGUUUCCCAGGUGUAGGAAGUGGGAAUAUGUCAGGCAGCUACAUUUGAGAGUCUUUGUCUCUAUUAAAGAGUUUGAUUGUAACUUCACCCCAAAUCCCUUGGAAAAGACCAGACAGUCCCUGCUCCAGCUCCACUUGGAAGAACAUCGCAAACGUGGUGGUUUCUGGGCCACUGGUUAGGUUAAGCAAAUGGGUUUCCAGACAUUCAACCUUUAAUGGGAAAGUUCUGUGGCUUGGAUCAGUAAAGUCAUAAAGUGCUCAUUUAAUUAUGUUUCAAGCCCAUUUAUCUGUUUUUGAGUCUAAGGAAGAUGUAUUCCAUCAGAAAGGGUAGAUACAAGGGAUGAGUAAAUGAUUUUUCUCUUUUUUCCCUUGACUCAUUUGAACAGCUGCUUCCAAAUUGAACCUUUAAGUAUGGCAUUUGUGAGUGAAAUUGCCCCCUUUUAGUUGCAAGGUAAUUGAAUCUCAUUUUUCACUUUCCAUUUCCUUCUAGAAGAAUCAAAAUGUUUUUUAGAACUUGGCUUCUCCGUGGGCGAUUUUAUAAGGUGGGAACUUCAGCAUCAUACAAGAGACUGGUGUGCUGAUGGCAUUCAGGACAAUUCAAGACAAGGGCAGUCAGGCCUGUUCUCUGCAGCUGAACCAACCCCACCAACCCCCGAGAGCAUAUUGAUUUCACUGUGUUUGCACUUGAAACACCAAAGGAAUGUCCACACCUUGUCCUUGGGCCAGGGCUGAGGGAUAGGAGAGGUAGACCUUUGUCACCCUUGAAGAAGCUGAGGGGCACUAUCACACAGAGGCAAAGCCUGGAACCGUGAGCUAAAUUGGCUUAGAUUGGUGUCUCUGAAAGUGUUGGACAAAUGAGAGCUGAUUUUAGGUGGCAGGUGGAUGGGACUUUAAAUGAUCUUGAAUCCCAUAGUAACAUAAGAUUGUGUUUCCAACUGUCUUUCAAUUCUUCUGAUUACAUGAAGGGCAAAGUCUCCGUUUGAUGCUCUCUGUCUUUAACAUUUUUCUCAUCUUGUUUUUUAAAUAAAAAAAAAGACCAGGCCUGAGUCUUGGGCCUUUAGAAAGUAACAGUUUACAGUUUCCAUUUAAUAACAUUGUUUCAUUUUUUGUUGUUUUGUUCUUAUGAUAACUUUUGAUUGAUGGCAUUUUAAAGGCCGGAUAUAAAGUUUUAUUUUAAGACAAUGGGUUAAGAUUUUUUUUUACUUUUUUUUAAAGUUUAUUUAUUGAUUUUGAAAGAGAGAGAGAGAGUGAGAACUAGCAGGGGAGAGCAGAGAGAGGAAGAGAGAGAAUCCCAGGCAAGUUCCUCACUGGCAGCAUAGAUCCUGAUGCAGGACUCUAACUCAUGAACCGUGAGACCAUGACCUGAGCCUAAACCAAGAAUCAGAUGCCUAACUGACUGAGCCACUGAGGCGCCCCAAGAUUUUUUUUUUUACUAUUAGUAAAUGAUGUUUGUGGUUGUGGCAAAACUCACCUGCAUGGCAUCUGAGCGCUACAGCCUGGGAUGCACUGGUUUCAGUGGACCAGCAGGAAACUGGAGGAAGACUGGUUUCACCCAAACUCACAGAUGUGAUUCCCAGUCAUUCCUCUGCCCUCACCAACUGGGCGCUUAGCUCGCUUGAGCUUCAGUUUUCUCAUCUGUAAAGUGGGUGCUACGAGCAGCUGUAGGAAAGCGGGCUUCUUCUGUUUCCUAAGACCCAGACGCUGACCUCUUGGUGGAGCCUCAGGAAGUCAGGUUCUCUUCCUUCGAGGUUAGUUGCAUCCUGUUUCCUUCAUGCAGAGGCUCUGAGUUUGCCGCUGGGUGGGAGAAAAGGUGAGUCGCAGUUCAUCACCCCUGCAGCCUGGAGGAGAAGUGUGCUCCCGAGGCCAGAGAAUCAAGCAAACCCAUCUGGCCAAGAUGGCUCAACAGCACGAAGGCCGAAGUUUUGUGCACAGGCAGGCUUUCCCUUCUCAGGCAACAAAUCUUUGGCAAUCGGAGGCAGGCUCUGGAUUAAGCUUAAUUAAAAUUCAGUCUUAAUUAGGGCCAUUACUUAAAAUCAACUCUAUGUAAUGAAGCUGUGUAAUCAUAAUUAAGCCCAGAAAUGGAAUUAGGAAGCACAGAAUGUUAAAGCCAAACACAGAUGGGCCCAGGGCCUAUGAGGACAGAGACAGGACUUCUGGAUUCAACAGAAUUUCAAAUAGCUAAGGACCAAUGAUUGCAUUGAUGCGAAACUUGAUGGCCAUCAGGACAAUGAACUAAUCAGAAAGAGGAUUCAGGAUACAUGGGACCCCAAGAUGCAAAGCUUGUGUGACAUUACAGGCAAGAGGAUGGGGCAGCAUCAGGCAGAGGGGACCAAUGUAUGUCGAGGAGAAACAGGGGCACUUAGCAACAUUUUACAUUGACAACUUCCUCUGUAUCCAGCACCGUUCUGUUGUGUGUGUGUGUUUUUAAAUGUAUGAGCUAAUUUUAUUUUCACGAUCACUCUGUGAAUGGGUAUUAUUAUUUCCUCCAACUUACAGAUAAGGAGUCUGAGGCUCAGAGACUGGUGUAAGUAACUUGCCAAGGUCAUGCCACAAGUAAGUGGCAAAUACUAAAGGCUGCACAAAUGGUACUUAUUAUUAUAAAGGUACUAUCUGUCUGUUUAACUCUGUUGGUCAGAGUUAGUAAAACCUACAAACAACACAUGUGCAGAAGCUAUACCUAAGUCCCAAGUGAGGUCACUUACCCAUGAUUGUCCCCAGAUCCAAAGCCUAUGCCUCUAUUUUAUUUUUUUUUAAGUUUAUUCAUUAUUUUUUAAGUUUAUUUAUUUGAGAGAGAGAGACAGAGAGAGGGAGAGAGAAAAUUCCAAUGUCCACGCUGAUAGUACAGAGUCCAAUGCAGGGCUUGAUCCCAUGAAUUGUGAGAUCAUGGCCUGAGAAGACGAAAUCAAGAGUUGGAUGCUUAACUGAGCCACCCACAUGCCCCAAGCCUAUGCCUCUAACACUGUCAGGAUAGGUCAGGCAUUUAGGUUCAGAGAGGAAGGUGCUAUCAGGUACUAAUUUCAGAAUUGCAGAGCUGGAGGGGGAAGAGCAAGGAAGAGAGAGUUCCAUCUGAUACUUGUUUUUUGGCUUAGCAUUUUAGUUUUCCUUGCUCAGGAGACCCUGGGAAUUAUACUCAGGAGUGGAAAGGGGAUGUUUGAGCACCGGUAGCUUUCCCUCCCUCCCUGAGCUCCCUAUUGUUCAGAGCAUGGCUCAUGUCUCAUACCUCUUACGCCAUCAUCUAUCUGUCUAUCUAUCUAUCUAUCUACCAACUCUUACACCGUGUGUGUGUGUGUGUGUGUAUGCACACAAAUACCACGCUGUCCCAGAAAUAUUGUCCAGUCUAGGGUGCCCUCUCAGACUCUUGUUUUUUCUCUCAAUCAAGUCAGACCAGCAGGAAGGACUUCUCCAUGCCCAGAUUUAGAACCAGAUAUGCCAUUGGUGCUGGAAAUGUCCUGUGGUUCAUGUUUCCCAAACAGCCUCAGGCCCACCCAGAGAUUCCUCUCAGUGUCACUCACUCCACAGUGCUCACCUCCAGUGAUGGGGAUAUCACUACUUACUGAGUUAAAUCCUUCAGUUUUGGAAGAUAGUGUAGAAGGGACAUUUGGCUUAGGCCUAGGCCUAAUGAUCAUGAAGGCCUUCCAAUUCCAGACUUUUGAUAUCAUCUCUAAAUGAGUGAUACACACAGUCCAUAUGUGGAAAUAUUCGUUUGUUAAAUGCAAAUGUUUCAGUCAUAUCACAUUUUAUUUUAUUUUUUUUGCAAGGAUGUGUUAGCUUCCCCAUUUUUUAUAUACCAGGAACCUGAAUUUUAAAAGAAGACACAUCAUGGCCUCGCCCACUAUCUACAUCUAGGAGGCCCCAGGAAUUAUCAAAGACCUUUCCAUUGCAGUGUUUCCACUCUGUGUGGAGGGUUAGGGAACAUUGGCUUGGUGAGUGCCUCUUGUUUAUGCCCUGGGUGUCCUUAGCAUGGAGGCAUGGGAACUAGAGGGAGGUCUUGCUCUGAUUAAAAGGGGUUUAAGUUUGCUGCCCAGGACCAACAUUACAUAGCCAAGAGCACUGCUUGUUUUGAGGAGGAGGGCAAACGGUGGGGGGAAGAGAGGCAGUGGCCAAGUCAGGUUUCUCAGGAUCCUAGAGACCCUGCUUGGUAAGGAAUGGAGCAAAUUCCUUGUGCACAUGCCAGGCCUCCGAACCACACAGUUCCAGUGGCACCCUACGCGUGGUGUUCUAUGCAAAUGUCUCCCAACGGGGUUGUGCCACAUGGAGGCCCUGAUGCAAACCCCAAUCCCAAAGGGCACUCCCAAAGUAAGCUGGUGCUACGUGAGGGGGCUGAACCCCAGAUUGCAAGGUAUUCACAGACACUGGCUCAUGAGGAGGCCACCGUCCCUCUCCCACCCAUGACCUCUUUGUCCUUUAUCCUGAGAGCAUCUGCCUCUAUUUACACUAAAUAGCUCCAAUGCCAUUUGCUGGUUCCUGUAUUUUGGGCAAGCUGAGCUGGAGGCCCCUGCAGCCGGUCUGAGCAGGUAGCUGUGCUGGUGAUGGUCACGCGGAAGGUCCUGCUCUUCCAACAAAGUUUAGCAAACACCUUAUCUCCCAGAAAACAGAUGAGGUAAUGUUUAUGAAAGAUCACUCUGUCCCUUUCCACUGGGCUGAGGGGUGCCAGUGUGACCAACUUGUGCCAGAAGGUGGACUCUCCUCAGCCACCUUGCUCCCCCAUUCUCCUCUCCUGCUCCCUCAUUUGGGUAGGAAACCUCACUGAUGUCCUUUCUCACCGUAGAUGGUGGGAGAACAGGACUCUCCAUUCUGGACAGUCCAUUCAGGACUCACCUUGGCCUUUGUGUCUCCACUUUUCAAGGCACAUUCACAGCUCCCUUACGUGAGGAAACUGAGGCAGAGAGAAGUAAAGCAUCUUGGCCAAAGUUACAGGCAGGGUGGUGGCUGCACUGGGGACCCAGGGUCCUACUUCUGAACUGCUUUAUUUGUGAUCACCAUUCAUUUAAAGAUUCCUUAUUUUUGAGAUGGCUGGCUGGCUGGAUGGGUGGGAGCUAGCCAUAGAGACAGAUCAAAGAAAGAUAGCUCACAAGCAAGUAACAGGUGGAAAGAUAGAGAUGAUUGUGUAAGUGUAGAUGGUUCCUGAAGGAUACAUAAAAACACCGUGGACAAUAGUUGCUCCUGGGAAGGCAAUGGGGAAUCUGGGUGAGAGAGACUGCUUUUUAUUCUUCUUUACCUUUGCUUCCUCUGAACUGUUGAAGUAUUUUUCUUGCACACAUAUUAGUUUUUUAAAAUGUUUGUUUUUUUAUUUUUGAGAGAGAGGGAGGGAGAAAGAGAGAGAGACAGCAGGGGAGGGGCAGAGAGAGAGGGAGACAGAGAAUCCCAAGCAGGCUCCACACUGUCAGCGCAGGGCCUGAGGCAGGGCUCAAUCUCAUGAACCGUGAGAUCAUUACCUGAGCCAAAACCAAGAGUCAGAUGCUUAGCUGACUGAGCCAGGCACUCCUGUACACAUACUAGUUUUAAAAAAAUUCCCUUUUCUACGUUUAUUUGUGGUAUGAUUUUCAUGUGUUUGUCCACAGGAGAGAUUGGAAGCCUACACUCCAGGAAAGUCACAAGAGGCUCUAGGAAAAGAACAGCGGUGGAAGGUGGGUGACAUUCAGUCUUUGGCGUCUGAGAACCCAUGUGGCUGCCCCGGUUACCUCUAUCCCUGCCUCCGUUCCUGGAGGGCCUGUUUGCAGAGCAACAGCAGAGAUGUUUAUUUCACCGGUGCUUGCAAAUAGGACUGAUUGGAAACCACCUAUAUCCCCACAACUUAGAACUCGCUAAUGAUCUUCAGUUCAGCUGCAUAAUGGAAUACCAUGCAGUUGCUAAGAAUAAAUCAGAAAUCCUAUACUUUCUGCGUUCGGUGUUAGAUUCCACAGUGGAACAAACACCUCUUGCCUUAUGCAGUCUGGUUUCAUGGAUUGCACAGGCUGCUUGGUUGAUCUGAAUGUCAACCUGGGCUGGGGGCUGCUGUUCAGCGUUUAGGGUUCCUCUGAAGGGAAUGCAGAGAAGUCAAGUCAAAAUGUGCCAAAGAUGUUACCAACAAUCAUGUCUUGUUGUGAUACUUUGAGUAACUUUUAUUAUUUUUCAGUUUUUUCCUUCCAUUUCCAAUAUGCAAAUAUACUUCCUAAUUUAAAAAAAUAAACGUUUAUAAAGAAUCUUGUAGAUAAAGAACAAUAACAGAAAUCACUGCCCAGGAGGACUGGAAGGAAAUAAGACAAAAUGCUGCCUUUAGAUGGUAAGAUCAUAGAUGAUUUUUUUUUUCUCCUUACCUUUAUUUUUUUUUGAAUCUUCCGCAUUUGAUAUGUUUACUUGCAUAAUUGGGCAUUCAUAUUUAAGAUGGAUUUUUUUUUUAAUGGGUGGAGAGGGGAAGAUAGAUGAUGCUAUUGAAAAGCCAGAGCGUCAGACUUUCCAACGCCUGUUCAUGUUAACUGGUUGCUAUUUCAUGGGCCCCUAAAAUGUACAAGUCACUGAGCUCAGGGAUACAGAGGUGAAGGAGAUGUGAAUCAGUUAAUCAAGAAAGUCACAGUUCAUUUGAGGAGAUAAAACCCUUUCUGAUACAAGAUGCAGGGUCUCAUCCUAGAGCAUAGGCUAUCAGAGUAAUUAUCAUAAUGCUAGGGAGAAACUUCUCUGCGUGUCUUAACCGUGUCAGUUUGGAGCCUCAGUGUCCUCUCCUGUGAAUGUAGCCUACCCCACAGGAUGACUGUGGAGGUCACAUGGAGCUGCAUGUCCGGGGCUCAGCAAGGUGCUUUGCAAACAGUUCAUCCUCAGCACGAAUCACCAUUGUCACCAUGGCUCUGGUCACCACACCUGCUAUUUAGAAGUCAGGUUUACACAGAUGUGACAUACCUGGGGUCUGAACCCACCUUUAUCUGAUCUCAAAGUUAAUGCUCUUGCCCCAACCAGCCACUGUAUUUCCCUUCUAAGUUUGACCUAAAUGUCUUCACCCUUCAGUCUGGCCAGGAAGAAGAUCUACAUGUUCUUGAAAACAUCACAGGAGAAAUAAAUGUGAAAGAACAUCAGGGGAAGACGGACUCAUGUCUUGGAGUAAGAUCUUGCAACUUUGUCAUUUUGUAGUUUGUGUCUCUUGGUGGAGGAGAUUCCAUCCACAGCCAGUGGUGGUGACCCAACACUGUUGGGUCAUUCCUGGUUCCCUUGCUGUGAGUGUGACACAGGGUGCUGGUCCGCUCUGGCUGAAGGGAAGAGGGUCAUGAAUGGAGAGCAAGGGGAGGCAGAAGGGUGGGCCAGUGGGAUCCGGGAGAGCCCCAAGGAGCUGGGCAACCAAAGCCAAGAGGAGCACACCAACUGCCCAUGGGCUAAGGUCAGAAGUCUGGGGAAGCUGAGACAAAAAAAAAAAAAAAAACGGGGGUUCAGCAAGGGGCACACGGAUACUCAAAGCAGAGGGGAAAUUCUACUUAUGGACCUUCAUGGCAUUCCAAAAUUAGUUAACCCCUGGGAGAGGCUAAAUAUUGAGUUUUUCUCCCUGUCCCUCUGGCCAACUGUCUUUUUUACGGGUCCCCGUUAGCCCCAUUAUAGCUCAACCCACCUCAUUCCUUUCCAUUCUGUUCACCCCACUCUGUGCCAAGCGCUGCUUGGCGACACCAGAGGACUGUGUGUUGGGAUAAGGAAGAAACAAGGUAAACGUAUUAUAUGACUAGUGCUGUCCUUCGGGCAGGGGCAACAUGGUAGCUGAUGGGCUGAGGCAGGCAGGAAAGGCUUCCAGAGGAGCAGGUACUGAGCUGGGUCCUCAAGGACACUGUGAGCAGCUUCCCAGCACAUCUGAGAGAGGAGGGCGAUUUCUGGAAAAUACAUAAGAGUGACGGAUGCCCCUGCCAUGCUCCUGGUGGAUGUCAGCUUCUGAAUUGCAGGUGUGUUCAGAGGAGAUCUGGGGCCAUGAGGCUACCACACAGGUGGAGUGGCCUCCAAAGGGCAUUGACUGACCUGCUGAGGGAUCUGUAAUGAGGGGGAGAGACAGGUCUGAUUUGAACUUGGCAGUGGGUGUCCAUGUGGGACAAUAUGGAGAGGUACCUCUGUUAUCCUCGGUAUUGUGUCUUCAUUUGGGGGAGAAGAAAUUCUAAAUUUAUCAUUUAAUCAGAUGACUUUAGAAAAGUAGCUAUCUAGGUGCUGAGAAAAUUAGUUCAUUCAUUCAUACUUCAUUUAUUCAUUCAAAACAAUUCUUGUACCUCAGUUUAUAUUUCCUACUGCUUAAAUUUCUGUGGUGUCUACACAGAUUGUUAAGGCAUUGUUCUAAUCUCAAGAACCUUAAAAACAGAAGGAGGGGAAGGUGAGGACUAACCCCAUGGUGUUAACCCAUAAACUGAGCUGGUCACAUCACCACCUCACCACUACUUAAAAUGUCCCAGUGGGUUUCUAUUUCUCUCAGGAAAAGUACAAACUUUUAUCCAGGCCAAAACAUCCCUCUAUGGCCUCACCUCCUGAGACCCAUCUCCUAGCACCUCCCUUCUUUUCCCUCCAUGCCAGCCUCAUUGUCCUUCUUUAUGUGGUCCUUACCAGACUGUCUUCAACCACAGGCCCCUAACACAUGUUGUUCCCUCUACCACUGUCAUCUCCCUGGGUUCAUGUGCACUCAUCCUUCUAAGUGCACAUCAAUGCUGCUUCCUCGGGGUAGGCUUUCCUGGUCUAUUUAAAUUGACUCCGACCUUAGUACACAACUCAUACUCCAUAUAACAUCCUUCAUAAGUCUUAUCCCAGUCACAAGAAUUUUUCAUUUAUGUACAUGAUAACUUUAUUAAUAUCUGUAUUCACCAGACUGUAAGCUCCAUGAGAACAAGGGCUGUGUCUUUCCAAAAAAUCAACUUUACUGAGGCAUAAUUUUUGUACAACAAACACACCCACUUCACACGCACAUUUCAAUGAGUGUUGACAAAUUUACACAAAAAUGGUUUCACUGUGUAACCACCAACAUGGUCAAGAUGUGGAACAUUUCCAUCGCCUCAAAAAGCUCCUCUGUGCCUCAUCCCAGUCAACUCUCUGCUUUGCUUCCUGUCUCUAUAGAUUAGCCUUUUCUAGAGUUUCAUAUAAAUGGAACCAUGCAAUAAGCAUUGUUGUGUCUGGCUUCGUCCAUUCAACAUAAUGUUUUUGAGAGUCAUCCUUGUUGUUGUAUCAGUGGUUCGUUGCUUUUUGUUGCUGAAUACUCUUCUCCAGUUGGUUCAUGGAAGUUACCUGUGUCUCUUCAGGUAAGCCUUUAGCUCCUUAAGGACAGAGGCCACAUUCUUUGACACCUCUGAUACUUGGUGUCGGCCUAGGCACAUAGGAGACCUUUGGGAGUAGCAGAGUCCAUCUUCCCUGACCCAGGGCAUGGGAGUGGCCACUCUGUACCCACAUUCAACAGUCACCCUGAUACUCACAGUCUUCCCCUCCAUGCCCACAGGCUGACCUUCUUGGCCCAGGGCUCCCAAGCACAUAUACCUCCUUCAGAAUCAGUCUGAUGCCUCUCACAGCAAUGCAGAGAAGUCCUGGGCCAGCCACAGCAGUUAGGGGGCAAAGCUGGGAGAUCACAGGCAAAUCAGAUCCCUCUGACACUGGGCACGUUGAUUUCCUUAACUGCCAAACAGAGACACUGCUGUCUACCUCACAAGGCCACUAAGUGGGCACAUGUGUGUGAAAGUGCCACUUGAAGUAGAAAACACAAUACUACACAGUAAGAGUGAAUUUAAUCAUUUAAUGGAAUUAACAAUGGCCUGUGUUACCUGGGACCCCUUUUCCCUCUCAGGACCUUCAAUUUCUUUACCCAUCAGAUGAAAAGUUGAGCUAGAGUUCCCUAAGAUGCCUUCUGUCUUGAACCUUCUUGGAUUCUAAGGUGCUGGAAUAUGAGAGAAAGGGCCUGAUGAUCCAGAAUUAGAAAAAAAUUUGUGUGAUUUUUUAGAGAACAACUGACUUCUCUGAAAGUUCUCUUCCUGAGUAAAGGAUUCAGCUCUAGUUGUGAGAACAAACCAAUGUUUUUGCAUUAAUAGCCUUAAAUCUGCCACUCUUUCCAAGCCUGUCAUGGAAAGUACUAGAGCUCCUUUCUUCCCAUGUGCUGGCUGGUGCUAUAUGGCACGUCUUUUGCUGGACUAGAUCUUUGAUGGGUCCCCAUUACUGGAAGUGCAGGAACAGCCUCCCCUUUUGCAAAAGCCAAUAGUUCAGUUCAAAUGACUCUUUGUGGGCCCUGUCACUCAACAAAGGAUUCCUGAGGGCCCAGGUGUGUUAGGGGCUUUAUAAGUGUUGUCUCUCUCUGCCUGUGCUGGAAGUCUUAGACCACAAUUUAAGAUGGAGAAAUGGCUCAGUGAGGUGUGUAAAUGAUCAAGUUGGAGCUAAAUUACCAGGUCCUCCUUUCCGCUCUAAUAGGCCCUGCACUAGGCCCAGGGGAUUCCAAAAUAGUUCAGUCACACUUGAAUUCUUAGAGGCCAGGAAGCGAAAGCAAUAGUUUAAUAUUUAUUGAAGAGAAACCCAAGGCUGUCAAGGUUGUCACUAACUCACCAUCUCGUUCAACUCCCUCAUUUUACUGAUGAGCCAACAGGGGUCCAGAGAAGUGGUCUGACUUGCCUGGAGUGACACAGCCAGCUGGCUGCCGGCAGGAGCUGUUACCCAGGCCUCCUGACUCCCAGAUUGGGGCUUUCAUGGCCAGAGCAUGCCCUGGGGCAGAACGGGGACUGUGGCCAGAAACAAGGAAGUGUGGAAUUAGGAACAAGGCUAUGUUUCCAAAUCACUGUCUCCAGCAUGCCGGCUGGGAGCGAAGAAGAAGAAUGGCGUUCUGGGAACCAGUCAGCAGAAACCAUUUCAUAACUGCCCUUAAAAUAGUACAAUGCUGUGUCCUUUUCCUGUGACCUCUGGCAGACUGCAGGACAAAUCUCAGAACAACCAUUUUGUGAGACUGCAUUUCCUUGCUCCCACCCGCCCCCCCUCCACACCCUCGCGUCAAUGUAAAGACCCAAGGACCUCGGAGUAGCAAUUCCCAUUUUGUAAUCGGUACCAACUCCGUUUGCUAUUUGGUCCCAAACCCCCUUUGUUUUGAAAAAUCUUGGCUAACUAUUAGGUUGUGUUUAUUAAUCAGUCCCCAGUUAUUUCCCCCAUUCUAUCAUUCUCAAAGACAGAACCUCCAGAACAGUGUGAGGUGAUCAGUGAAUCGGUGGACACUGGCAAGUGCCCUGACUGCCCACCACCCGUCAGGGCUCAUGCCGGGUAAGCAUGCAGCCAUCUUGGCUCCUUGGAUCUUCCCACCAACCCUGGGAGGUCGGUACCCAUUUUCCCCACCUCAAGUGCAGUGAGCAGUGUUCAGGAAGGCCAUCGUGCCAGGACAUGGCAGAGCCAGGAAAUCUGAGCCCUGAGCUGUGCUGGCAAGGCUCCCCCAUUAGCCUGGGCAUCUUACCGCCAUCAGAAAGAGCACUCAGGCACUCUGAGCCUAGAGCCCCUGACUGCCUCUAGGGGAAGCCCUUCUAGAGUCUGAGGUGUCUGAGGAGCUGUGGAGGGGCAAGGUGAGAUCCAGGAGGACCCCCAGCCAUCCCAGGAACACUGGACAGGGCCACACAGGACUCCUCAGCAGUGGGCAUGGUGACUGCUCAGCCAACAGGACACAGGCUUUGUACAAGAGGGCACAUUCCCACAGAUGACCCAGGAGGCAAGACGAUAGGAUGGGGUUUGCAAGACAGACCCAGACUGGCCCAUCUCAUAGCUGUGUGAACUCGAGCCUUGCUUUUCUCACCUGUAAAAUGGGGCCAAUACAAGCAACCUCAGUGUUACUUCAGAUGAUCUGGUGAGAGAGGUGUUGCUUGAUGCCUGGAAGAUAGGGCUUAAUAAUUGAGAGCUGCCCUUCUUGAUGCAGGGCGGGUGUUCCUCUGAGUCCCCCUUGGCCACAAACUUGGAAUAUUUGAUUUCUGCUUCACCCAGAGUCUGCAGCACAGUAAGACUGUCGGCAGCUGUGGCCCAGGUCAUCUGCACCGGCCUCCAGAGCAGCCCUCUGUGAGCCACUGACGCCCAUUGCCAAUUGGGGUAGAAGCAUGCCUGCUCCACGCCACGACCUGGGGUGGCCCCCAUGCCAGGACAAUGGUGCUGGAACACUGACCUAGAGAAGCUGACCAUAAAUGGGGGUAAAAUGCGGGUGCUAAUGGUUCAGAAGUUUGUUUUUAGGGAAGAUUUAAUGAGGUAAUAUAGGGAAAGGACAGUGCCGGGCUCAUAAUAUGUGCUCAGUGAAACUUAGCCGUAAUCAUAAGAAUUAUUAUCUCCUAGUGGCCAAGUAAUAUCUUAUUCUCUCAAAGGCCAUGUAGGGGUGCAAUCAUCACUUUCCCAUUUUACAGAUGGGGAAGUCAAGGGGAGUGGCAGGAACCUCCCCAACACACAAGGUGUAGAUCCUUUCACUUGCACCCCGUGGCCAUCCUGGUGGCUCUGGCUGGGCUCUGGGCACCCAGUGGGCAGUGGUGAGGUGGUACCUUGUGCGGGAGCAGAACCCCUCGAGGCUCUUCGAUCUCCCUCGCCCUGCCGGCCAUUCCAGACUUUCCCCGGCCACUUCCAAGCACGCCAGGACUCAGGCGCAAAGCUGCAAGAGCUGGCCUCCAGGGGGCAGCAGGAGCCUGAGAAACUCUAGGCUGGCUGGACUAGGAAACCGAGUGUCACAGAAGGCUAGCCAGGGUGCCCUGGGGGGAAUGCUGACCGGCUGAGGGCCAUGCUGCCUGUGCCUGGAGCUGAACUCAGGGCUAGGAUGCAAGAGAGGGGGAGGACAGGAGGGCACUGAAUUCAGAUGCUCGGCCUCCUCCCGAAAUCCGCUCUCCCUGGUCAGCUUGUUUCCAUUCUGCUCAGUAAAUAGGGGCUGCACUGAUCCAGGUGCCAUGGGGGAUUAAAUGUGCACAUUCCCAGCCCUCCAGAAAGUGAGGGAGGCCAGUGCAGCCUGGGGAGUGCAGGACCAGGGGGUUCAGGUGGGGGGUGUGGGGUGCAUCAUGACAGAGUCUGUCAGAGAGGGCAUCUUCCAAGCCACCAAAGACCAUGCAGAGACCAGGAUGUUCCUUAGAACUGCACCUGGACCCCUCUGGCCUCUGCCUAAGGAACUUGCUCACCACCUUGUGGUUCUAGGGUCCGUGAAGGGCCAGAUUCCUGGGCCUUCCCCAAGCCUUGGAGUCAGAAGGUCUGUAGUUUUAGCCAGUUGUCCAGGGGACAUUUGCACAGGCUCACAUCUGACAGCCUCUGCUCUGAGGCCACAAAAGGGAUGAAUACGGCUGUUUAUUGAUCUCUCCUUGCCAGGCCCUGAGCUAAGUGCUCUUUAGAUACCAUUCUAUGUAUUUCCCCCCCUUCACAAUAUUCCUUCGUCUGUUCUUUACAAAUAACGACCUGGACUAUGGCUGAGAGAGGUGAAGUGAUGUGUCCAAGGGCACACAGCACUUAGUACCUGAAGCAGGAUCAGAACUCAGGGCAGUGUGGUUCUAGAGCAUGCCUGCUUUCACUCUCCAUGUAACCAAGCAUGGGUUAGAGAAGCAGCAAAGGCUGUGCCUAGCCCAUGGCCAAGGGAAGGAGCCAGGAUGACCUUGGAGUCAAGAGAGGGCCUAUCUUGGACUCUGCAGCUUGGGGCCUGGCACAUAGCAAACACUGAAAUGCUUAGACUUCUGUUUUUUAACAUUUGGAGAUAACAGGGGGAGCAAAGCCUUCUGUUCUCCCCUCCACCCCGGUCCCUGCCAGAGAUGGUUCUGUCCUCCUGGUCAGAUCAGAGUCCAUGUGGCUCUGGUCUCGAACCCUGUGCAUCUUGGCAGGAAAGGGGGUGGGGGUGGGAAGAGAAGGGUCUGGGUCUAAGUUUCCCUGGCAAUCUGUUUUCCGACUCCUGAGCUCCUUGGAAGCUGGACUUCCAGAUCUAUUUCCUUCAGUGUCGUUAUCUGAAACAUAGAUCUCCUGCAUCUGGUCUCACUGGCAGUUUGCAAGUAUUCUGUGAGAUCAUGUGGGAGGAGAGAGGUCUGCAAACCCAGAUGCGCAGUUCAAAUGUCUACUAUUACUCAGGACAACUGCUCAGAAAUUGGGAUCAGUGUGAGGCCAUCAGACCGAUGACCAUCUCUCUACCCCACUAGUCAAAUAAGAUUCAAAUAGUCCACUGGAAUGGGCCUGUGGCGGCCUCUAGCUCUGUUAGCUUAGACAGCCUCUCUCAUCUGUGCCCCCUCACCCUCUCUAAUCUGUCUCUUUCUUCACCAUUCAAAUUAGUUAUUUGAAUGACCAGAAGCCCGAAGUUCCUUCCCGGGCCCAGUGGCCCCCAACUUGCCCAAGAACUCUCUUCCCUCGGGCUUCUGCAAACUGAGAAAUUCCAAGAUUCCCACCGUGCUCAGGUCGCCCCUUUGGCCACCUGACACUGCCUGCUCAACACAGGGGGCCCACAGGUCAUCAGCGAAGCACCCACUUCUCCUCAGCCUGCGGAGACAAGAAAGAAAGAGGCCACAUGUGCAUCCUUAGGCUUCCUAGACAGGUGCAUCUCUUCUGUGCUUUGGCCAAAGGUGGACUUAGAAUGUUGAUGGAACAGUCACAGGGAAAAGAAACACACAGAGAUAGUAAUAAUGCUGACGGUUCCUGAGCAGAGAAAUGACCUUCAGACACUACUCACCUGUGGUGGCACCAGAUCCCUUUCACCUUUGGAAUCUCUCUGGUCUUCCUGUUCAACAUCUUCAGCUCGUGGCUCAACCUGCAGGGGCAACUAUGAUGUGGUGACAGCUCACUGGCUCCUUAGAGAUGGGCUCAUGUCUCAGAAUCCCCCAAUUUGGGCAAGUGCUUUCCUCUCUCGGUGCUUCCAUUUGCACAUCUGUAGGAUGGGCUCUCCCUACCCCUGCUCCCCUGAUCUCAGAUUAGUGGGAGGGUCUGAUGAGAUGGCCUGUAGAUGUGAAUGCUCCACACUUAGCACACGUGGGCCCCACCCUCUUGCCGAAUCUCCAGGCUUUCUAGAAUGUUGUUAAUUGGUAGUGAAUAAAUCUCUGACUCCUCAAAUAAGGAUAAAAAGACUACUUUCAUUUGACUUGACCCUGCAAUUCUGGGACUCUAACCAGUAGAAAUGAAAAUGAAGGAUGCAAGGAUAUGGAUGAUUAUCACCACGCUGGUUGUAUUUGUUACGAGGGGACUAGAAGAACCCUACAAAACUAAUGUGCAUCACUAAUGGAGAGGCUGAAUAAACUAUGGUACGACGACCACUCUGUUGGAUUAAGCAGCUAUGACAAUAAAGAAUGUUUUCUUUUUCUUUUGAUCUAGAGAGACAGCCAUGAUGCAUUCAGUAAAAAAUACAUGUAGGGAUAUAUGUAUAGUGUUAUUUUUA
Molecule: long non-coding RNA, 16251 nt
Filed under: Lynx pardinus (Iberian lynx)
Lineage: Eukaryota; Metazoa; Chordata; Mammalia; Carnivora; Felidae
Source: RNAcentral